This 1084-nucleotide long non-coding RNA is filed under the name Cottoperca gobio. Its description in RNAcentral is "lncRNA (ENSCGOG00000015235.1)". The record is from RNAcentral. Lineage: Eukaryota; Metazoa; Chordata; Actinopteri; Perciformes; Bovichtidae.
GCUUUUUCUGUCUUAUUAUCUUCCGCUGCGCUUCUUUGCUUCACCUGAAAAUGCUCAGCAUUGCUCUUGUGUUGUUAACACAAUCGGUGUCUUUUAAGCUCCCAAAGCUGAGAAAAAGCCUGAAGAGAAGCCAACCGCAGCUGUGAAGGAGCCGUCGCCACCAAAAGGUACCAACAUACUCUGAUGUUGGCAUGUAGCUGUGUAAUACUACAUUUAUCUGUGGUUUCUCAUGUUUUUUAAACUUUUAAAAUCAUUUAAUGUGAUUAUGUCUGUGUAAAUGGUAUUGGGUGUGAAAUUUCACUUAAUUUCACUGACAUUUUUGAAGUACCUGAGGCCAAAAAGCCAGUGGAAGAAAAGGUUCCUGCAGUUUCAGUCGCAGAAAAGAAGAAAGUUCCUGCUCCAAAAGGUAGAGAUGUCUUGAUUUUUUAACAUCUCUCUACUGAAAAUCUUCCUCUUUGCAGACAACACUGUCCUAAUAUUUGACUAUUGAUUCAGUUUUGUUCCUUUCGUCGUCUGGUUUUUUUUUUACUUUGUGGUUGAUCAUGUGUUUGAAUGUAUCUUAAAAGAAGCAGAGGAGGUUAAGAAGCCUGCUGCUGCUGCUCCCUCGCCGCCUGCCGGGAAGCCUGGAGUGCCAGAGAAAGAUAAGGCCAAGCCUCAGGUACCAGCUGAGCCCAAAAAAGUGGCGCCUGCAGCUAAGCCUGAGCCUGAACCAAAACCGAAAGCAGAACCUGAACCAAAGCCUAAGCCCGCACCGGCACCGGCACCCAAAGCAGAAUCUGAAGCCAAACCUGUGGCAAAGGUGGAGCCUGAAGCUAUGCCGGUGCCGGUAAAGAAGCCGACACCACCGUCCAAAGUCCCUGAAGAGGCUGCAAAACCAGAGCCGGCAAAGAUCAAGCCUGAACCGGCAGUAAAAAAGCCAGAACCAGAGGUUCGAAAAGCCCAAACCCAAACCAGAAAAAACAAAACCAGAAGUCCAUAAACCUGAGCCUCUCGAACCUGCCGUUGCUAAGCCAGAACCGCCCGUUCCAAAACCAGAGCCUGCUAUGGUAUCCAAACCUGAACCAGCAGUUAAAAAAGCUGAACC